AUUGAACGCUGGCGGCAGGCUUAACACAUGCCAGUCGAACGAGUGGCGGACGGGUGCGUAAUGCUUGGGAAUCUAGCUUAUGGAGGGGGAUAACUACGGGAAACUGUAGCUAAUACCGCGUACCAUAGGAUGAGCCCAAGUGGGAUUAGGUAGUUGGUGAGGUAAAGGCUCACCAAGCCGACGAUCUCUAGCUGGUCUGAGAGGAUGACCAGCCACACGUGGACGUAGACACGGCCCAGACUCCUACGGGAGGCAGCAGUGGGGAAUAAUGCGCAAUGGGGGCAACCUGAAGCAGCCAUGCCGCGUGAAUGAAGAAGGCCUUCGGGUUGUAAAGUUCUUUCGGUAGCGAGGCGUUAACUACAGAAGAAGCACCAGCUAACUCCGUGCCAGCAGCCGCGGUAAUAC
Molecule: ribosomal RNA, 405 nt
Filed under: uncultured bacterium
Lineage: Bacteria
Description: partial 16S ribosomal RNA
Rfam family: Bacterial small subunit ribosomal RNA
Source: RNAcentral